RNAcentral lists this unclassified non-coding RNA (269 nucleotides) under Hevea brasiliensis (rubber tree). The record is from RNAcentral. Lineage: Eukaryota; Viridiplantae; Streptophyta; Magnoliopsida; Malpighiales; Euphorbiaceae.
AAUCAACUUUAGACAGGUCUUGUAGCUUGACUUCUAUAAGCCAUCACAAGGGUUAUUCACAUCCUCAAAUAGCCAAGCAACCAACAAGUGAAAUACAAUUUAGCCAACCACACCUUUGGGAGACUCUAAUAAUAUGCAAAAUGAGGGAAUCAAACAGCACUCCCAUCCAGUUCACAAACUCAUUCUUCCAAAUCGUCCUCUCAAAUCUCAAAGAUAAUUGACGAACAUAUAUUGAACAACUACGCAGACAAUUGGGCACACAUAAAAGU